GAUGAACGCUGGCGGCGUGCCUAAUACAUGCAAGUCGAGCGAACAGACGAGGAGCUUGCUCCUCUGACGUUAGCGGCGGACGGGUGAGUAACACGUGGAUAACCUACCUAUAAGUCCGGGAUAACUUCGGGAAACCGGAGCUAAUACCGGAUAAUACAUCCAGCCGCAUGGUUCAAUAGUGAAAGACGGUUUUGUUGUCACUUAUAGAUGGAUCCGCGCCGCAUUAGCUAGUUGGUAAGGUAACGGCUUACCAAGGCAACGAUGCGUAGCCGACCUGAGAGGGUGAGCGGCCACACUAGAGCUGAGACACGGUCCGGACUCCUGCGAGAGGCAGCAGUCGGGAGUCUUGCAGAAUGGGCGAAAACCGGACGGAGCGACACAGCGUGAGUGAUGAAGGCCGCGGGAUCGUUGAACGCUGUUGUUGGGUAAGAAGCAAUGUGUAGGUAACAAGGCUCGUCGUGACGGUACCUAAAGAAGAAGCACCGGCUAACUACGUG
This 497-nucleotide ribosomal RNA is filed under the name uncultured bacterium. RNAcentral describes it as "partial 16S ribosomal RNA". It matches the Rfam family "Bacterial small subunit ribosomal RNA", at positions 28 to 507 of the family's 1533-position model. The record is from RNAcentral.